RNAcentral lists this ribosomal RNA (497 nucleotides) under uncultured bacterium. RNAcentral describes it as "partial 16S ribosomal RNA". It matches the Rfam family "Bacterial small subunit ribosomal RNA", at positions 28 to 507 of the family's 1533-position model. The record is from RNAcentral.
GAUGAACGCUGGCGGCGUGCCUAAUACAUGCAAGUCGAGCGAACAGACGAGGUACUUGCUCCACCUACGUUAGCGGCGGACGGGUGAGUAACACGUGGAUAACCUACCUAUAAGAGUGGGAUAACUUCUGGAAACCGGAGCUAAUACCGGAUAAUAUAUUUAAACGCAUGGUUUAAUAGUGAAAGACGGUUUUGCUGUCACCUAUGAAUGUAUCCCGUUAGCAUUAGCUAGUUGGGAAGGUAACGGCUUACCAAGGGAACGACGAGUAGCCGACCUGAGGGGGGGAUCGGCCACACUGGAACUGGACCACGGUCCAGACUCCUAGGGAAGGCAGCAGAAGGGAACCUUCCGCAAUGGGCGAAAGCCUACCGGAGCAACGCGGCGUGAGUGAUAAGGGUCUUCGGAUCGUAAAACUCUGUUAUUAGGGAAGAACAAAUGUGUAAGUAACUAUGCACGUAUUGACGGUACCUAAUCAGAAAGCCACGGCUAACUACGUG